Molecule: ribosomal RNA, 253 nt
Filed under: uncultured bacterium
Lineage: Bacteria
Description: partial 16S ribosomal RNA
Rfam family: Bacterial small subunit ribosomal RNA
Source: RNAcentral
UACGAGUGCCUCAAGCGUUAUCCGGAAUUAUUGGGCGUAAAGGGUGUGUAGGCGGUUAUGUUAGUCCCGUGUUAAAACCUUCAGCUUAACUGAAGAUCUGCAUGGGAGACGGCAUAACUCGAGGAUGCGAGAGGUGAAUGGAACUCUAAGUGUAGGGGUGAAAUCCGUUGAUAUUUAGGGGAACACCAAAAGCGAAGGCAAUUCACUGGCGCACUCCUGACGCUGAAACACGAAAGCGUGGGUAGCGAAUGGG